Long non-coding RNA from Bombyx mori (domestic silkworm), 430 nucleotides. RefSeq lists it as uncharacterized. The transcript has 3 exons. The record is from RefSeq and is a predicted model, not a curated record. NCBI's taxonomy places the organism in Eukaryota, Metazoa, Arthropoda, Insecta, Lepidoptera, Bombycidae.
GACUGUUGGCACUUGAACGAUUGUACCAUGGUUCACUUGCGGACUAAAUAAUAACAAUAAUAAUGGUUGGUUCGAAGUUUCAUCAGUAACAGUUCCAGAUAUGCUUGAACGAAUCUUGGUUCUAAAGUUAUGCAACGUUCCAACAUCCUAAGAGCCUCCGGGCUUGAAGGAAGUGGUGCUCCGCCCUCCCCGAUGCCAGCACCAGCGUGCCCAAGUUAUUGUGGGCACUCGCGUAACUUGGCCACAAUCUGCACGGACAUUUUAGCAAAAAAAAUGUGUUUGUCAGCUCUGUCGUGCGACUGUAGUAUUUUACUGCUUCUCAAUAAAAAAAGAAGGUAAAUAAAUGCAUCUCUUUUAAAGCUGAAAUCGUGUUUGUACUUUUAUUCAUAUUAUGUAUAAAAUUGAUUCAAUAAAAUAUUAUGCAUAAAAA